AGAGUUUGAUCAUGGCUCAGAAUCAACGCUGGCGGCGCGCCUAACACAUGCAAGUCGAACGAGAAAGCAGGAGCAAUCUUGUGAGUAAAGUGGCGUACGGGUGAGUAACACGUGGAUCAUCUACCUUCUAGUGGGGGAUAACCCUGGGAAACCGGGGCUAAUACCGCAUAAGUCCGAGAGGAGAAAGCAGCAAUGCGCUGGAAGAGGAGUCCGCGGCCGAUUAGUUAGUUGGCAGGGUAAAAGCCUACCAAGACAAAGAUCGGUAGCCGGCCUGAGAGGGCACACGGCCACACUGGCACUGAAACACGGGCCAGACUCCUACGGGAGGCAGCAGUGGGGAAUCUUGCACAAUGGGGGCAACCCUGAUGCAGCGACGCCGCGUGAGCGAUGAAGCCCUUCGGGGUGUAAAGCUCUUUCGGCAGGGAAGAUUAUGACGGUACCUGCAGAAGCAGCUGCGGCUAACUACGUGCCAGCAGCCGCGGUAAUACGUAGGCAGCAAGCGUUGUUCGGAGUUACUGGGCGUAAAGGGUGUGUAGGCGGUCUUCUAAGUUUGGUGUGAAAUCUCCCGGCUCAACUGGGAGGGUGCGCCGAAAACUGGGAGGCUAGAGUACUGGAUGGGAGAGUGGAAUUCCUGGUGUAGCGGUGAAAUGCGUAGAUAUCAGGAGGAACACCUGUGGUGUAGACGGCUCUCUGGACAGUAACUGACGCUGAGACACGAAAGCGUGGGUAGCAAACAGGAUUAGAUACCCCGGUAGUCC
RNAcentral lists this ribosomal RNA (758 nucleotides) under uncultured bacterium. RNAcentral describes it as "bacterial SSU rRNA". It matches the Rfam family "Bacterial small subunit ribosomal RNA", at positions 8 to 796 of the family's 1533-position model. The record is from RNAcentral.